ACGAACGCUGGCGGCGUGCUUAACACAUGCAAGUCGAACGGAAAGGCCCUGCUUUUGUGGGGUGCUCGAGUGGCGAACGGGUGAGUAACACGUGAGUAACCUGCCCUUGACUUUGGGAUAACUUCAGGAAACUGGGGCUAAUACCGGAUAGGAGCUCCUGCUGCAUGGUGGGGGUUGGAAAGUUUCGGCGGUUGGGGAUGGAUUCGCGGCUUAUCAGCUUGUUGGUGGGGUAGUGGCUUACCAAGGCUUUGACGGGUAGCCGGCCUGAGAGGGUGACCGGCCACAUUGGGACUGAGAUACGGCCCAGACUCCUACGGGAGGCAGCAGUGGGGAAUAUUGCACAAUGGGCGGAAGCCUGAUGCAGCAACGCCGCGUGCGGGAUGACGGCCUUCGGGUUGUAAACCGCUUUCGCCUGUGACGAAGCGUGAGUGACGGUAAUGGGUAAAGAAGCACCGGCUAACUACGUG
Molecule: ribosomal RNA, 467 nt
Filed under: uncultured bacterium
Lineage: Bacteria
Description: partial 16S ribosomal RNA
Rfam family: Bacterial small subunit ribosomal RNA
Source: RNAcentral